This 253-nucleotide ribosomal RNA is filed under the name uncultured bacterium. RNAcentral describes it as "partial 16S ribosomal RNA". It matches the Rfam family "Bacterial small subunit ribosomal RNA", at positions 524 to 776 of the family's 1533-position model. The record is from RNAcentral.
UACGUAGGGUGCGAGCGUUGUCCGGAAUUAUUGGGCGUAAAGGGCUCGUAGGCGGUUUGUCGCGUCGGGAGUGAAAUCCAGGUGCUUAACACCUGGCUUGCUUUCGAUACGGGCAGACUAGAGGUAUGCAGGGGAGAACGGAAUUCCUGGUGUAGCGGUGAAAUGCGCAGAUAUCAGGAGGAACACCGGUGGCGAAGGCGGUUCUCUGGGCAUGACCUGACGCUGAGGAGCGAAAGUGUGGGGAGCGAACAGG